GCAGAGGUAGCGAAGUGGUCAAACGCGCAAGACUCAAGAUCUUGUGGCUUAGUGCCUUCGGAGGUUCGAAUCCUCCUCUCUGCA
This 84-nucleotide transfer RNA is filed under the name Candidatus Pacearchaeota archaeon. RNAcentral describes it as "tRNA-Leu". It matches the Rfam family "tRNA". From Rfam's summary of the family: Transfer RNA (tRNA) molecules are approximately 80 nucleotides in length. Their secondary structure includes four short double-helical elements and three loops (D, anti-codon, and T loops). Further hydrogen bonds mediate the characteristic L-shaped molecular structure. tRNAs have two regions of fundamental functional importance: the anti-codon, which is responsible for specific mRNA codon recognition, and the 3' end, to which the tRNAs corresponding amino acid is attached (by aminoacyl-tRNA synthetases). tRNAs cope with the degeneracy of the genetic code in two manners: having more than one tRNA (with a specific anti-codon) for a particular amino acid; and 'wobble' base-pairing, i.e. permitting non-standard base-pairing at the 3rd anti-codon position. Lineage: Archaea; Nanobdellati. The record is from RNAcentral.